GACGAACGCUGGCGGCGUGCUUAACACAUGCAAGUCGAACGGAAAGGCCCUGCUUUUGUGGGGUGCUCGAGUGGCGAACGGGUGAGUAACACGUGAGUAACCUGCCCUUGACUUUGGGAUAACUUCAGGAAACUGGGGCUAAUACCGGAUAGGAGCUCCUGCUGCAUGGUGGGGGUUGGAAAGUUUCGGCGGUUGGGGAUGGACUCGCGGCUUAUCAGCUUGUUGGUGGGGUAGUGGCUUACCAAGGCUUUGACGGGUAGCCGGCCUGAGAGGGUGACCGGACAAAAUGGGACUGAGAUACGGCCCAGACUACUACGGGAGGCAGCAGUGGGGAAUAUUGCACAAUGGGCGGAAGCCUGAUGCAGCAACGCCGCGUGCGGGAUGACGGCCUUCGGGUUGUAAACCGCUUUCGCCUGUGACGAAGCGUGAGUGACGGUAAUGGGUAAAGAAGCACCGGCUAACUACGUG
This 468-nucleotide ribosomal RNA is filed under the name uncultured bacterium. RNAcentral describes it as "partial 16S ribosomal RNA". It matches the Rfam family "Bacterial small subunit ribosomal RNA", at positions 28 to 507 of the family's 1533-position model. The record is from RNAcentral.